CCUGCCCUAUGGUUGUACCUGAAAUAAUAACAAAGCAGUUAUUUAUAAAGACAAUUUAAUGGCCGCGGUAUACCUGACUGUGAAAAUGUAGCGCAAUCAAUCGUCAAUUAAUUGUUGACAAGUAUGAAUGGCGUCACGAGUGCUUGACUGUCUUAAGAAAAAACCCAGUGAAAUUGAAUUCGUAGUUAAGAUGCUACGUAAUUUUGUAAGACGAAAAGACCCUAUUAAGCUUUACUGGAUGCUUAUGUUGUCUUAAUAAAUAGAUAUAAUGAAUGGUUAAUGCAUAUUAAAUAAGAUAAUUAAUAUUCUUAUUCAGUAUAUUUAAUCCUUUAUAUCAAUAUAAAUGAAAGACUAUUUCUCCACUUAAGAAUGGAUUAGUAUGUUAGACAGUUUGGUUGGGGCGACCCCCUUAAAAAGGAUAACUGAGGGGCACUAAGGUAGUAAAGAAAGAGCUUGACUGUAAGAGGGCCCUCAAACAGACACGAAAGUGGGUAAAUUGACCCGUUAAUAAAAGUGGGAUUGUUAACGAUAAACAAAUAAAAGUUACUAUAGGGAUAACAGCGUAAUAUUGUUAGAGAGUUCACAUUAACAACAAUGUUUGCGACCUCGAUGUUGAAUUGCGGCAUCCUGAGGGUGCAGAAGCUCUUAAAGGUUAGUCUGUUCGACUAUGAAAGCCUUACAUGA
RNAcentral lists this ribosomal RNA (684 nucleotides) under Synarachnactis lloydii. RNAcentral's name for it is "Cerianthus lloydii partial 16S ribosomal RNA". It matches the Rfam family "Bacterial large subunit ribosomal RNA", at positions 1858 to 2603 of the family's 2925-position model. The record is from RNAcentral. Lineage: Eukaryota; Metazoa; Cnidaria; Anthozoa; Spirularia; Synarachnactidae.